UUUUAGCUCUGAGUACAGCACAUGAUGAGUCCCUUGAGCCCUUUUAAUGAGUCCUCAGCUUUGUGAGCAGUCUCAGGACACUGGAAAUGCUGCCUAACCACCUGACGGCGUCUGGCGGAAAAACAAUCUGUGUGUUAGCUGACACAAGACCGGUGGAGGACUUUCCAGGAGUGGAGAGUGGGGAAGUUGCCGGGCCCAUACUCAGCCCCCUGUCACGAGUCUCUUAGCUGCCUUUGUGACGUGAAAACACAGUGUCAUGAGAUGUACUGCUAUGGCAUUUCUGAAGCACCAGGACCACAGAAGCCUCAUGAAUGUGGAAAACCAGUGUAUGAAACAAACAAGCAAAUGAACAAAUUAUCUGUGGAAUUUUUCCUAAAAAAUCAACCAGCAUGCAGACGGCAGGCAUAAGCCCCGAUCGUGAAAGCGAUGAGGAUGAAGAGCCCUACGAGGAGACAUUUGUCUAAAGGUGAUAGGAGGGAAACGUGAAAAUAUGUCUAAAGUUACCAAGACAUGAAGGCUCACUCCAUUUGGGGGCAAAAAAUAGAGGUCCCCAACCAACCAGAUAAUAAUCUGUCAUUACUCAAGAAAACGCACAUUACGUAUAUGAAGCUGUUUUUCCUUUCA
Fukomys damarensis (Damara mole-rat) is the source of this 624-nucleotide long non-coding RNA. RefSeq lists it as uncharacterized. The record is from RefSeq and is a predicted model, not a curated record. The transcript has 5 exons. Lineage: Eukaryota; Metazoa; Chordata; Mammalia; Rodentia; Bathyergidae.